AAACAGUGAAAAGAAAAUCUAAAAAUCUUAGUCACUCCAUCUCCCAACGCUUUUGGGGAGCAAGCAAAAGGACGAUAGAAAAAAUCAAGUUAGUGAAAAAACUGAGAUUAAAAACAUGUAAAGCAUAAGAAAGUGGAUGUGAAAAGAAAGGAAGAUAGAGGUUACAGCUUCAGGUUUGCCAAUGAUCUUGGCAACGGUAGAGGUGGCCUCAGAGAGGAUGGAAGAGGUGUCUACGCCGUCCAGGCUCACGUUAGUGGACAGGUUCAGGCAAGGCAUCUUCGCUCUAUCACUCUUUGCUCUGCUCUGCAAAACCCUAGUUGCUUCCCUU
This 328-nucleotide long non-coding RNA is filed under the name Vitis vinifera (wine grape). Its description in RNAcentral is "long non-coding RNA (VVIN_LNC002477)". Lineage: Eukaryota; Viridiplantae; Streptophyta; Magnoliopsida; Vitales; Vitaceae. The record is from RNAcentral.